CAGACUGACUGACUCGGCUCCGUCAUUACUACAUCUGGUGACCCCGACGUGAUACCCCCUGCUCAUCGGCUGGAACAGCCCCCGGUGCACCGACCUCCGCUAGAAAAGCUUCAUUUCGGGGAACAGAUGUGACCCGGAACGCUGGGGGUUUCGGGUCCACCUUAGCGAAGGCCCAUCCUCAGGUGGCAGCGAUUACUCAAGCAAUAGGACAAGCAAAGUUUAAACGUCCGUUGUGGGUCCCUGCCAAGAACGUGCGACCGUGGCACGAUGACGUGGCAUCAAGGCCUCAAGAACCCGAUACCCGACUUCAAUCUGAAUCUAACCGAGACCAUUCAAGCGUGCCAAGCCACAAAGACGGCACCAAAGGUCACCUGGGGGCAGGUGAAACAACUGACGCAGCAGGCUCAGCAAACGCUGGAGAAUAACAAGGCCAAGCCUACCCCCGAGAAUUUUACUGCUGCUAUUUUUGCUUGUUUGACCGUUAAUUCUUGUACCAUAUUGUUGUGUUGUUUUUGUGUGUCAUUGGUUGGGGCCGAACCCGAAUUGCAUAGCUGCAUGCGUUAUAAU
Molecule: long non-coding RNA, 567 nt
Organism: Mauremys reevesii (Reeves's turtle)
Lineage: Eukaryota; Metazoa; Chordata; Testudines; Geoemydidae
Exons: 3
Source: RefSeq, a predicted model, not a curated record